UAAAAAAAAUAAUAUGUUGAUAAUAUAUGUGAAAGUAAAUAAGUAUUACCUAAGAUAAGUUGCUAAAAGGUCAAAGGCAGCAAAGGUAAAAGUAAGUAACAAUGGUGGCGACUAGGUUUAUGAUGGCAGCUAGGAUUUAAGAGGCGGCUAGGUAAAGUGGCGGCUAGGUUAAGUGGCGACUAGGGUUUCAUCAAAUGGAUGUAGAUGAAGUUCAGCCAUAG
RNAcentral lists this microRNA precursor (221 nucleotides) under Physcomitrium patens. RNAcentral's name for it is "Physcomitrella patens miR901 stem-loop (ppt-MIR901)". Its record names the gene ppt-MIR901. The record is from miRBase by way of RNAcentral. Lineage: Eukaryota; Viridiplantae; Streptophyta; Bryopsida; Funariales; Funariaceae.